AAACUCCUGACCUUGUGAUCUGCCCACCUGGGCUUCCCAAAGUGCUGAGAACACAGGUGUGAGCCACUGCACCCGGCCUUUUCUCCCAUUUUCUAAGGUGACCAUAAAAAAUUUUCUUUUCUUUUUUCUUUUGAGACAGGGUCUUGCUGUGUUGCCCAGGCUGGAGUUCAGUGGCGCAAUCUGGGCUCACUGCACACUCCACCUUUGGGGCUCAAGCGAUCCUCCCACCUUACCUCUCAAGUAGCUGGGACUACAGGUAUGCAACACCACGCCCAGCUAUUUUUUCGUAUUUUUAGUAGAGGCGGGGUUUCACCAUGUU
This 319-nucleotide long non-coding RNA is filed under the name Homo sapiens (human). Its description in RNAcentral is "non-protein coding lnc-SYNE2-3:9". Lineage: Eukaryota; Metazoa; Chordata; Mammalia; Primates; Hominidae. The record is from RNAcentral.